GGGGGCAGUUUUAUGUUCGAACAAAAUGUUCUUCCAUUUAUACUUCAGUGUGUCCUGUCCAAGUAGACAUUUGUUGAUUUCAUGACUAAAAAAAAUAUUUUUUAUGUUCGUCAUGUGUAGAUAAAUAUAGAUAAACAUACCUAUUAUAUCAAGUUUUGUUGUUAAUUUUCUUCAGUGAAGCUUCUUCAAUCACGAUCAAAAACCAAACUUCCGGUACAUUAAUACGUCAC
This 230-nucleotide long non-coding RNA is filed under the name Mytilus galloprovincialis (Mediterranean mussel). Lineage: Eukaryota; Metazoa; Mollusca; Bivalvia; Mytilida; Mytilidae. The record is from RNAcentral.